This 1071-nucleotide long non-coding RNA is filed under the name Calidris pugnax (ruff). Its description in RNAcentral is "lncRNA (ENSCPUG00000015529.1)". Lineage: Eukaryota; Metazoa; Chordata; Aves; Charadriiformes; Scolopacidae. The record is from RNAcentral.
CCCGCCUUUUCCUCACAGCCCCGCCCCCGUCCCGUGUGGGGAGGCACCCGCCGCCAUUUUGGGGUCGCCCCCUUGGGGCCCUGGGCUGGUCCCGCCAUGGCCCCGCACCCUGAGGGGCUGCGCUGGUUCCAGAUCCCCCUCUCCUCCGCCCGCGUACCCCGCUCGGUGAUCUUCAGCCAUGGCUUCCAGGCCGGUCUCCAGCGUUACCAGCAGCUCCGUGCCCUCAAACACCUCCGGGUGGGCCGCCCCGUCGCCCCGCCUCCCCCUGGCCUGCUGGAGCCCUGUCCCCCCGACUCCCCGCCCGCUGACAGCCCUCCCCGGGCCUCCAAACGCCCCCGGGGUGGCAGCGGGGUGCGAGCCCCCCGGCGCCACAAGGACUCCCCUGGCACCAAGAAACGGGUGAGCAGAAGCCGGCAGUCUCCUGGCCCCACUCCUCCCCGUGCCAUCCGGCGGGAUGGGGCCGACCGGGACUCCCCACCGUGCCAGGAGACACCGGACACUUCCAGCCCUGUCCCGGUGACACCGGUGCCAGUUACGGGGUCCCUGGGGGGUGAUGCCAACAUUGGGCAACACACCACAGCCGGGCAGGGGGCAACGGUGCCACAGCAGGAGGGCAACGAGUCUGGGGGGCACCUGCUGGGCACGGCGACGGGGUGGGUGUCCUCCACAGACAGCGAGGACGAUGACCUGACCCCACUGAGGGACGUGCUGGUGGCUGGGGACGAGCCCCCAAGCCCUGUGGACCACCAGGUGGGUGCUCAGGGGAGGGGGUACCCCAGUGCCCACCCGGGUGCUGUGGUUUCCCCCCCUAAAGCAUCAUCAUCCCCUUGAUUUGUCGCCCAGGUCGGUUGCCCACGGGCAGAUCCGCUUGCCAACAGCCUGGAAUCACCAGUCCAGGAGAAGAGGUAAGGAUGGAACCCCCAACUUAGGGCACGGGGACAUUUUGGGGUGCCCUCCCCGUGCCCUCACCCACCCCUGUGGCAGGGAGCAGAGCCAGGCAGCCACGCAGCACCCCGACCUGUCGCGGGUCCACGUGGACAACAACAAUCCCUGGAAAUCCCUGGAGGAGAA